ACUACGGGUGGCAGCAGUAGGGAAUCUUCCACAAUGGGCGAAAGCCUGAUGGAGCAACGCCGCGUGGGUGAAGAAGGUCUUCGGAUCGUAAAACCCUGUUGUUAGAGAAGAAAGUGCGUGAGAGUAACUGUUCACGUUUCGACGGUAUCUAACCAGAAAGCCACGGCUAACUACGUGCCAGCAGCCGCGGUAAUACGUAGGUGGCAAGCGUUAUUCGGAUUUAUUGGGAGGAAAGGGAACGCAGGCGGUCUUUUAAGUCUGAGGUGAAAGCCUUCGGCUUAACCGGAGUAGUGCUUUGGAGACUGGGAGACUUGAGUGCAGAAGAGGAGAGUGGAACUCCAUGUGUAGCGGUGAAAUGCGUAGAUAUAUGGAAGAACACCAGUGGCGAAGGCGGCUCUCUGGUCUGUAACUGACGCUGAGGUUCGAAAGCGUGGGUAGCAAACAGGAUUAGAUACCCGUGUAGUC
RNAcentral lists this ribosomal RNA (465 nucleotides) under uncultured bacterium. RNAcentral describes it as "partial 16S ribosomal RNA". It matches the Rfam family "Bacterial small subunit ribosomal RNA", at positions 338 to 795 of the family's 1533-position model. The record is from RNAcentral.